UAGGGAAUCUUCGGCAAUGGAUGAAAGUCUGACCGAGCAACGCCGCGUGAGUGAAGAAGGUUUUCGGAUCGUAAAACUCUGUUGUUAGAGAAGAACAAGGACGUUAGUAACUGAACGUCCCCUGACGGUAUCUAACCAGAAAGCCACGGCUAACUACGUGCCAGCAGCCGCGGUAAUACGUAGGUGGCAAGCGUUGUCCGGAUUUAUUGGGCGUAAAGCGAGCGCAGGCGGUUUCUUAAGUCUGAUGUGAAAGCCCCCGGCUCAACCGGGGAGGGUCAUUGGAAACUGGGAGACUUGAGUGCAGAAGAGGAGAGUGGAAUUCCAUGUGUAGCGGUGAAAUGCGUAGAUAUAUGGAGGAACACCAGUGGCGAAGGCGGCUCUCUGGUCUGUAACUGACGCUGAGGCUCGAAAGCGUGGGGAGCAAACAGG
Molecule: ribosomal RNA, 429 nt
Filed under: Chloroflexota bacterium
Lineage: Bacteria; Bacillati; Chloroflexota
Also listed under: 1 other name
Description: Chloroflexi bacterium partial 16S ribosomal RNA
Rfam family: Bacterial small subunit ribosomal RNA
Source: RNAcentral